GCAGUAUGUAGGCCGGCUUGAUGCGGUAA
Molecule: small RNA, 29 nt
Filed under: Bombyx mori (domestic silkworm)
Lineage: Eukaryota; Metazoa; Arthropoda; Insecta; Lepidoptera; Bombycidae
Description: ovarian small RNA-16512
Source: RNAcentral